GGAAAUCUCUCUGCCAUAGCUCUUCUUCUCUUCUUCAUAGCUCUUCUUCUUCUUCUUUCUUUACCAGCCAAGUGUGCUCUGGGAUAUUUGAUGCUCCCUGAAAAUGGCAGUGGCAAUGGAGGCUGCCGUCUCCUCCACACCUCGUGUGUGUUGAUACACACAGGUGCAUCCGAGUGUCCCAGCAGCUGUGAGUCUAUGGGUGGCACUGAGACACAGGAUUCUCAGAAGCAGCACUGGAAGUCCCACUCUUGAGCACAGUCUCAUUGUUUUUUAAGGGUCUAGAGAGGGUUGUGUGUGCACAUACACGCGAUGUGCAUUAAAUACACACUCAGUGUAACACCAGCCAGGACGGCUCUUUUCCUUUCAGGAUGGUGACCCUGUCUGAGGGAAGCUGAUGAAGCCCUACAGGAGGGAGAUCUGAGUCAUGAGAGCCUUCUCAUGGAAACUUACUUCCUGGCCUCCUUUUUGCUGCACACUGAGAACAGAAGAUGAACUAGGACGUGGUGGAGGGAAACUGCAAUGGGCCAAGUCUGUGCAUGGGGUUGUGAGCUGCAGCCCUUGGAGGGCAGGCAGAACUGUGCUGUGCUGGAAGGGGAAGUAGCAACUGCUGCCUGAGUCACAGCUGAUGUAAAUACC
This 636-nucleotide long non-coding RNA is filed under the name Numida meleagris (helmeted guineafowl). RNAcentral's name for it is "lncRNA (ENSNMEG00000019617.1)". The record is from RNAcentral. Lineage: Eukaryota; Metazoa; Chordata; Aves; Galliformes; Numididae.